AACGUAGGUGGCAAGCGUUAUCCGGAUUUACUGGGCGUAAAGCGUGCGCAGGCGGCUUUGCAAGACAGCUGUGAAAUCCCCGGGCUUAACCUGGGAACUGCAUUUGUGACUGCAUGGCUGGAGUGCGGCAGAGGGGGAUGGAAUUCCGCGUGUAGCAGUGAAAUGCGUAGAUAUGCGGAGGAACACCGAUGGCGAAGGCAAUCCCCUGGGCCUGCACUGACGCUCAUGCACGAAAGCGUGGGGAGCGAACAGG
This 253-nucleotide ribosomal RNA is filed under the name uncultured bacterium. Its description in RNAcentral is "partial 16S ribosomal RNA". It matches the Rfam family "Bacterial small subunit ribosomal RNA", at positions 524 to 776 of the family's 1533-position model. The record is from RNAcentral.